GUUUAAUGGUUACACCCUUCAACUGGAUGAAGAUAGGACUCUAAGUCCAGUUGAAUACUUGAAACAGGCAUAAGAUCUCUCUGAUCUCUACAAGUGGAUCCUCUGAAUCCCUAUUCCCCUUUCUCUGAAUUCUUUAAGUUUAGAUUAAUAUUUCACCAUUAUUCCUCAAA
This is a long non-coding RNA of Magnolia sinica, 170 nucleotides long. RefSeq lists it as uncharacterized. The transcript is spliced from 2 exons. The record is from RefSeq and is a predicted model, not a curated record. Lineage: Eukaryota; Viridiplantae; Streptophyta; Magnoliopsida; Magnoliales; Magnoliaceae.